RNAcentral lists this long non-coding RNA (2782 nucleotides) under Homo sapiens (human). Its description in RNAcentral is "HSALNT0200242". Lineage: Eukaryota; Metazoa; Chordata; Mammalia; Primates; Hominidae. The record is from RNAcentral.
GAUGACAGAAACUUCAUCUGCAUUGGCUUCGGCAAAGCAGAAAUUUAUUAGCUUACAAGCUGAUUCCCACACCAUCAAUAUACUUACAAUAAGUACAAAGUACAAGUAUACAUUGUGAAUACUUAUGUAUACUCACAAAUAUUUUGGCAUCUCUUUGGCCAUACCCUUCACAGGCCCCAUCUUGUCCAUGCACCUGUCUGCUUCCUUGGCUUCAGAGCAUUGCCUCCAAGUCCUCUACAGCACAACUUUCCCUUCAGCAUCCAACCUUAUGAUGUACUGGGAUAUUGUGUUGCCCCUCUCCCCUCUCUACCUGUGCUGGGCUUUAAGGCUGACACACCUAUAAACCCCAGGAGUGGAGGGAAGGUAAGAAGGAAAAGGGUGAUGUUAAAAAAAAAAAAGAUUGAAAAGGAGAUAAGAUGACAAGAACAUCUCAAUGACAAUGCUGCUAAGCAUAAGUAAAAUGUAUAGAUAUUUUUAUACUUACAGGUGAUAAAGCAGAAGUAGUUAAAUCCUAGUGUGAAGGGCUCAUUUAGAUAUGUCUUUGUAUUAAGAGAAUGAUGAACCUCUAAGAUUGGAACUAAUCCAAAGCCACCUCUAAGAGUGGAGCUAAUCCACUGAAGCCUAGACCAGAAGGAUUUCACGGUAAAACAUGAUAUUGUUGUAAUUAUAGUUUCUCAACUUGGGCACUAUUAACAUUUCGGACCAGUAACACUUUGUUGAGGGAAGCUGUCCUGUGCAUUGUAGAAUGCUUAGCAGAAUUCCUGGCCUCUACACAUUUGAUUCCGGUAACAAUAUCCUAGGGGUAAAAUUGCUCCUGGUUUAAAACCACUCUAUCUGAUGUGUUUUCAUACCAAUAUACCCUGUGCAUUUGCAUGAGUCCUAGAAAGAGAAGAGUAUGCAAGUUAAAACUAAUAGCUCUGUUUUCAUUUUUUUUAAAGGGAGAGUGGAUUGUCAUUGAGACAUAUGUUCUGCUUACGUGGAGAGUAACUUGAGCAACGUUACCCACCUCUAUGUGGAAACACAGGUUUAUUUAGUAUGUUGAAAUUCCAGACAUAACUAUCUGUUCAGUAGCAGUGGUUCCUAUAAGACAACAACUUCACUGUUCAUUUUGUGCUAGUAGAAUGGAACUUCACGGACCUUGGAGAAGCAUACUCCAAACACUACAAAUGAUGGUUAUACUUUGGAGAGAUGCUAAGACAGCAGAUGCUAAAAUCCAGAUACCUUUUGUGAAUAUGAGGCAUAUCUACUGGGAACACAUCAUAAUAAUCUGUUGAGGUAAACAUUAAAGAUGGUGGCAAUAAGCAGUUGGAGAAAAAGAAAAAUAUCAACAUGCAAGGCACCAUUGUUUUCUUGCUUCUUAAUUGUAACUUUUUAUUUUUUGUGUAUAUGGCUAUCACAGAGAUUUAAAAAUUAAUCAUUGAAAAUCAUUAAUAGAAUCGACCUGUGAGCAUCAACACAGAAAUGGAUAAAGAAAAUGUGUUAUAUACACAGUGGGAUACCAUUAAGCCUAAAAAUGAAGGAAAUCUUGUUAUUCACAGCAACAUGGGUGAGCCUGGGGGGGCAUUAUGUUCAGUGAAAUAAGUCAGGCACAGAAAGAUAAAUAUCACCUGUUCUCACUUAUAUGUGAGAGCUUAAAGAAGCUCAGCUUAUAAAAGUAGAGGGUAGAAUUGUUUAGUAUUAGAGGCUUGGAAUGGUAGGGAGGAGAAGAUAGCUAGAAGUUGGUUAACAGACACAAAAUUGUCUAGAUGGAGAGAAAGUUCCAGUGUGCCAUAGCACUGUAGGGUGACUAUAGUUAACCAUAAUCUACCAUAUUUUCCAAUAGCAGGAAGAGAGAACUUUGAAUGUUUGAAGUGCUGGACAUUCUUACUACUCUGAGUUGAUUAUUACACAUUGCACACAUGCAUCAAAACAUCACUCUGUAUCCUACAAAUAUGUACAAUAUUACGUGUUAACUCAAAAUAAGAAAAAAUGAAAUCUUGAUUUAUUAUUAUCUAAUUUCAGUAUUUUACCACUUUCCCCCAAAUGCAAAAGCAAUUUAGUACUAUUUUUCAGCAUCCCAUUGUCUUGUAUUUUACUAUACAUUUUAUGAAUCUGAUACUACAUGUAUUUUUUCCCUAGUAUUGAUUUACAUAUACCUACACACAUCCGUACUUUCACCUGGGAUUCCUUUGUUUUAGUCCUUUAGUAUUCACUUUAGAGAAGAUCUGCAAGUUGUGAAUUCCCUUAGCAUAUGAUUGUCUCUAUUAUAUGCUAAAAGAAUAUGAUAGAAUAAAUAAAAGAAUAUGUUUUUCAUUUUGAAGGAUAUUUUCACAGAGUAUAGAUUUUGAGGGGUUUAUAUUUACUUUUAAUAUUUUAAAGAUAUCAUUCACUUAUCUUCCAGCUUCCAUCGUUUUUGACAAAAAUUUAAACAUCAGUCUUGAUUUUCCUUUGAAGAUACUAUGAUUUUCUAACUGCUUUAAAAUGUUUCCCUUUGUCUUUGAUAUUCAGCAAUUUGACUAGGACAUAUCUAGAUGUGGUCAUCUUUAUAUGUGUCCAAAUGAGUUUCGCUGCGCUUUAUAAACAUGAAUUGAUAAUUUUAUCUGAUUUGAAAAAUUCUAGACAAAUACUUUAUCAAAUAUUGUUCCUAUUCCAUGCUCGUCUCUCUUUCUGAGCAAUAACUAUAAUUCAAACUAUUUUAUCAUGUUCCAAAUAUCUCUUACUUUAUGUUACUGUUUUCUUCCCUGCUUCGGUAUGUAAAAUUUUUAUUGACUUAUCUUUGGGGUCACUAAUUCUUUAUUCUGUU